CGGCCCUCGGCUGGGUUUCUUAAAGGAGCACCGGAGCUUGCGAGAUGGGGUACCGAGUCGGAGCCGGGUGAAGGAGGUGGCCGGUGGCUGGGGCAAAGGAGGGGAACAAUGUAGUUCAGGGCUGUCCUGGGCCAGCGAGGUCGAGAAGGUGGCAGGGCUCGGCUCGGUGCGCGCACCGCCGCACUGCAGCCGAGCCCCAGCCGGCCCCACUCGGGGUGGGCGGGGGAGCGUUGCUCGGGGAGGAGAGCUGCUUCCCGAGGCGGGGCGGCGCAGUAUCCAUAACGCCGGGCGGCCGCCCGCCUCUGCCGCCCCGAGCUCUCCCGACCCCGCCGAUGCUAAUAAUGCCUGACAAGAAGUCGGGGAACGUGGGGAGGAAGGCCCAGAGACCGCAGCCCGGGGCGUCUGGGUUGUUCGUGGCCUUUGUUGUCACUUAGUGGGAGAUGCUGCUGAGUGCCCGGAGGAACUGGAGGAGGAGCUGGAGGAGGAGGAGGAGGAGGAGGAAACACGGCGGUGAAGGGGCGGGGCCGCGGGGAGGGAGAGCCUUUUGUUCCGCCGGCCCCGCGGGGGACUCCAAGGAAGGGGUGGCGGACCCUGCUCUGCUCCGAGCUCUAGUCCCACCUUCCCUGGGCCCCUCCAGCCCUCCUGGAGUUUGCAGAGAGCCGGAUGCAUCCAGUCCGGACCAGCCCGUCUCCUCUCCUCGUUAGCCGAGGGACGGGAGUCCUUUCACAUCCUACCCCCCAAAGGGCUGUAGGAAAGAAAAGGCGUUUUAAAAGUAUAUCUAAUAAGACCCUUCCCUUCUAGCCCAGCUAGCUUCAUCUUAGAUAUGGGGAAGCUAAAGAAAGGCAAUAAACAUUUAUUAAGCAA
This is a long non-coding RNA of Dromiciops gliroides (monito del monte), 864 nucleotides long. RefSeq lists it as uncharacterized. The record is from RefSeq and is a predicted model, not a curated record. The transcript is spliced from 2 exons. NCBI's taxonomy places the organism in Eukaryota, Metazoa, Chordata, Mammalia, Microbiotheria, Microbiotheriidae.